Long non-coding RNA from Scylla paramamosain (green mud crab), 3583 nucleotides. RefSeq lists it as uncharacterized. NCBI's taxonomy places the organism in Eukaryota, Metazoa, Arthropoda, Malacostraca, Decapoda, Portunidae. The transcript has 9 exons. The record is from RefSeq and is a predicted model, not a curated record.
AACUAGCCAAUCAUCGUUCUGGUAAAUACCACUUACUUAUCUCAGUUUCCUCCAAUACUCCCUCUACCCUUUCCUCCUUUCCCUCCUCUACUCCUUCAUUUCCUCUCUGCUCCUCUCACUGGCUUAAUGACUUCAUAUCCAUCUUAUGAUCAGCCCCGCGUCAACCUGAGUGUCAUUAGGCUUCAUCAUUUCGUCUUUUUUUCCAUUACCACUUAAAACUGACUUGUUACUGCUCCUCGUUUUUCUUUAAACCCUGCGUAUUUUUCCGUCAGGCAUCAUCUUAACUAUUUUUUUUUUCUCUCUCAGUUUCUCUUUAUAUAUAUGGACUUAGCGCUGAUUAAAGAAUAUUCUUUCUCUACGUAUAAAUUGUACGGUAAUGAGAGAAGCUAAAAUUAAUUUCACGCUAAAAAUAAAUCGUAUCUAACCGUUAUUUAAUUUUGCUCUCCUCAUCUUCCUUCACCUCACUCAUGGGAUUUCUAAAUCACGUCUCUGGCUUUCCACGAAUCCACCAUCAAAUAUGUGUCACUCGGCGUCAAUGAGUCGGCGUAUGAGUGAGAUGAGUGACAGUGAAGGUGUUUGAGUCCCGCUUGUUGUAGCAUUUAAUCGGUUCCGCUAAAUAAGACAGGUGUCAAUUUGUCGUGGUGUGCGGGAGGGAGGGAGUGAGGGACGGAUGGUGGGAGUGCGAGGGGGUGUAGGCAGGACAGGGAAGCAGGAAGGCAUUGUGGGUGUGAUCUUGUGCGCGGGAGGUGUUUUGUCAGGCUCUCCCCUUGUAGUGUUCGCUGUGUGUGUCUCGCGUGUCUAGCCAAGCCUUCGUGGAGCCGCCGUCACCCUCCGCCACGGAAAGAGAGUAAGGGAAACGCCUACCUAGCUCAAGUGGUCCUGUGGGCGCUGCCUCCUCCCGGGCGCCCGCUGGGGAACACUGCUCACCGCCUCUACAUAUAUUCUCUUGCCGCGGGAGGGGUGAGAGAGACAGGUAUGGAGGAAAGGAUGGAUGGACGGACGGAGGAAGGGACGUGGCAGGUUGGCAAUGUUGGUGCUUACAAAAGAAGUUAUGUAAUGAUAUUCAAGUCGUGAACGUGAUGGGAGCCCCGACCACUAGUCUUCCUAAGCCGACUACGAGUGUGUUCAAGUUUGCAGUACAAGAAUACAUCCAGAUUCUCCCUCCCUCCCUCCCACCCUCCAGUGAUUCAAGUGGCGCUCCCAGAGGUAUUGUUUUGCUGAUUGGCUGGGAUUACUGAUGCCCGUGCUGUAAAUAGAACGCUGUGUCCUCCAUUUGUUCAGGAAAGGACAACAGGAUCUAUUUGGAGGACACCAACACCAAGCUCAGGGCCGAGAACACUGGUAAUGCUGGUGAUGAGAAUACUAAUGCGAACACGGAGACAACAACAUCUGCUACCACCACUGCUACCACUACUACUGCUGCUUUUAUUGCUACUACUACUACUACUACUACUAUAGUGACGACACCGAGAUCUAGUUUCCAUUUUAUUGUUUAGUCACAGUGAGUCGGGUGAAGGAAAGGACCACGUGCAUUACAACCCAUGAAUAGUACUGUACCUCUUCCACAAAAGACGGUACAAACUAUCUUCCGUCGUGAGGAGUAAUUAAGAUAAAAAAUAUAAAUAUAAUAACUUAAAAAAACUAAAGCGAUAUGAUAUCAACUUAGAAUUCUUGCUAGUUGUGCACAUAUUUUACUCACUCAGCUUAUAUUUGAGACAGAGAAACUAAAAUUAGGAGGAAAACUUUGUUAUUACAUUCAUUCAUUCGUUUGGUUAUAAACUAAAGGAGAAAAGAAGUGAAAGUAAAAGAAAAAUUGUGCUGCCAUAUUCAUACUCUUAGAUAAAUACAAGGAAAAGAAGAAAGAAACCGCCAAGAUUAGACACAUUUAUCAUAGUGCCGCCAACAUUUAAUUGUUUGCCGAAAGAAAUAGCACUAAUAAGAUCACUUUUCAUUAACUCGUAUAAUCCUCCCGUGUUGACAUAAGAGUGAAAUACCGUAAGAAAAAUUAAGAGACCUUGAAAUAAAGGGUUUCUAAGCGAGAGGGAGGAAAGCAAAUUCUUGUGUUUCUACUUCAGGUAAAGUUGCCAACACUGCCAACAUUCUGAGAAGAAACAAUGGACUUUACAAAAAUUAUCCCCUUGAGCAAACCCGCUAAACAAUAUUGCCAACACUCGGGAGGAGGAAAGAGUGGAGUUAACAAAAACUGAACCCCGAAGUAGAGCGCGCUGAGCAAUAAUGACUGCGUAACUUCAAACUUCAGACUUUAAACAGGGACGAUUUAUAAGCACCAAAAAACAAAUGGCACUGGGGAAUUGUGCCGGAACAUGAAAUAACGAGAGAAAUCCACGUUGGUGCUUUGUUUAGAUAUUUUCUCAGCCACCGUCAGUUUACCUUUACCAGUUGAACCCAAACUCGGUGAAAUCAGUAAGAAAAACAAAAAAAACAAUCUGAGCAGCGGUGGCGGAAUGCAGCAGAAGCAACAUCACCAACAAUACGAAGAACACCACCACCACCACCACCGCCACCACCACCAGCAUGAGCAAGGACACAGCGACAGCAACACGAGGGUAGACUUGGCAGCCAAUAAGACACGACCCUUCUACAGCUCACUGCGUCUCACUCACCAGCGCUACCCCGAGGGACAGAGAGAGAGAGAGAGAGAGAGAGAGAGAGAGAGAGAGAGAGAGAGAGUGUGUGUGUGUGUGUGUGUGUGUGUGUGUGUGUGUGUGUGUGUCGUGUGGAAUGAGGGAGGUGUAGCGUGUGGCAACAACAUCAGAGGUUUCGUUUCGAACUGAAUCUCUCUCUGGUUAUGAAACCCCGUGCUCCUCCCUCCCUCAAGGCACGUCCUGGAGAAGCGAAGUUGUGUGCAAACCCCGCAGACCCUUUCGAUGACGACCUCCCACUGUAUCAUAACUCGCUGAGCCUUGCAUUUCGUGAGCAUCGAGAAGGGAGGAGGUGGUCAGUGGGAGAAGGACGACUCCGCACAGCACUGCAAGGAAACGAGAGAGUGAGGAGAGAAGAAAGACAGAAGGAGAAAGAAAAGGAGGCGAGGCUGGCUGGGGAGGCGAGGUGACAGUGAGAGAGAAGAGGACGCUGUGAGACAAACGAGAGGUGCGCAAAGGGAGGCAUCAAGAGAAUUCAGGUCGUCUUUGAUCUCAGCUUCAGGGAUUUCAGGUUGCCUUAGAUUCGGCACGGUAAAUUUGGUCUGUUUUUGUUCGAGUUAAAGCGAGUUUGGAGAGUUUAUAGGCGAGGCUCUGGUUGGGGAGGGAGGGAGGGAGGGAAGGAAGCGAGUCGUUUUACAAUUUGGGUUAUUUGGUUUCCGAAUGAGGACGACUUGUUUACGUCGCGCGGAGGGAAAAAGGGGACGGUGGCAGAGUGAUGGGAGCGAGGAAGCGGAGGUCGACACACACACACACACACACACACCGUCAGGACUCUGCUUGGUGGAGGGAACAUUCGGGGAUAGCAGUUCGUCCUCAUUAGAUUCAAACUUGCCUUGGGAGUUCAUUGUUCAAAGAAUAAUACAGUGAUGAGGAGGAAGGAAAAGAAAUGAAAGUGUUUCUUUCGCCAUGUCUCCCUGGAA